CCAAUGCGAUGAUGCGGAAGGUUGCCCGCGUCGCGGGGAGAUUUCCGCAGAGAAUGUCCGUUCUAGAAACUGGACGAUAA
The sequence is a regulatory RNA element, 80 nucleotides long. It matches the Rfam family "S10-Clostridia ribosomal protein leader". The record is from Rfam.